AAAGGGGCAACCUGGUAUGAGAUGGACUCGCGUCGCAUUAGCUAGUUGGUGAGGUAACGGCCCACCAAGGCGACGAUGCGUAGCCGACCUGAGAGGGUGAUCGGCCACAUUGGGACUGAGAUACGGCCCAGACUCCUACGGGAGGCAGCAGUGGGGAAUAUUGGGCAAUGGAGGAAACUCUGACCCAGCAAUGCCGCGUGAAUGAAGAAGGUCUUCGGAUUGUAAAGUUCUUUAGUCAGGGAAGAAGUCAAUGACGGUACCUGAAGAAUAAGCUCCGGCUAACUACGUGCCAGCAGCCGCGGUAAUACGUAGGGAGCAAGCGUUGUUCGGAAUGACUGGGCGUAAAGGGUGCGUAGGCGGUUGUACAAGUUAGAAGUGAAAUACCCAGGGCUUAACUCGGGUGCUGCUUCUAAAACUGUAUGACUUGAGUGCAGUAGAGGUUAGUGGAAUUCCUAGUGUAGCGGUGGAAUGCGUAGAUAUUAGGAGGAACACCAGAGGCGAAGGCGGCUAACUGGACUGCAACUGACGCUGAGGCACGAAAGUGUGGGGAGCAAACAGGAUUAGAUACCCUGGUAGUCCACACUGUAAACGAUGGAUACUAGAUGUAGGAGGUAUCGACUCC
This 622-nucleotide ribosomal RNA is filed under the name uncultured bacterium. Its description in RNAcentral is "bacterial SSU rRNA". It matches the Rfam family "Bacterial small subunit ribosomal RNA", at positions 202 to 838 of the family's 1533-position model. The record is from RNAcentral.